This 250-nucleotide ribosomal RNA is filed under the name uncultured bacterium. RNAcentral's name for it is "partial 16S ribosomal RNA". It matches the Rfam family "Bacterial small subunit ribosomal RNA", at positions 779 to 1032 of the family's 1533-position model. The record is from RNAcentral.
UAGAUACCCUGGUAGUCCACGCCGUAAACGAUGAUUACUAGUUGUUUGCGAUAUACCGUAAGUGACUAAGCGAAAGCGAUAAGUAAUCCACCUGGGGAGUACGCCGGCAACGGUGAAACUCAAAGGAAUUGACGGGGGCCCGCACAAGCGGAGGAACAUGUGGUUUAAUUCGAUGAUACGCGAGGAACCUUACCCGGGCUUGAAAUGUACCUGACCGUCCUUGAAAAGGGACUUCUAGCAAUAGCAGGUA